GGUUAAGUUAGAAAGGGCGCACGGUGGAUGCCUUGACACUAGGAGUCGAUGAAGGACGGGACUAACGCCGAUAUGCUUCGGGGAGCUGUAAGUAAGCUUUGAUCCGAAGAUUUCCGAAUGGGGAAACCCACCAUACGUAAUGGUAUGGUAUCCUUAUCUGAAUACAUAGGGUAAGGAAGACAGACCCAGGGAACUGAAACAUCUAAGUACCUGGAGGAAGAGAAAGCAAAUGCGAUUUCCUGAGUAGCGGCGAGCGAAACGGAACAUAGCCCAAACCAAGAGGCUUGCCUCUUGGGGUUGUAGGACAUUCUAUACGGAGU
RNAcentral lists this ribosomal RNA (320 nucleotides) under Salmonella enterica subsp. enterica serovar Derby. RNAcentral's name for it is "partial 23S ribosomal RNA". It matches the Rfam family "Bacterial large subunit ribosomal RNA", at positions 1 to 320 of the family's 2925-position model. The record is from RNAcentral. Lineage: Bacteria; Pseudomonadati; Pseudomonadota; Gammaproteobacteria; Enterobacterales; Enterobacteriaceae.